CCUACGGGUGGCAGCAGUGGGGAAUAUUGCACAAUGGGCGCAAGCCUGAUGCAGCCAUGCCGCGUGUGUGAAGAAGGCCUUCGGGUUGUAAAGCACUUUCAGCGGGGAGGAAGGCGGUGAGGUUAAUAACCUCAUCGAUUGACGUUACCCGCAGAAGAAGCACCGGCUAACUCCGUGCCAGCAGCCGCGGUAAUACGGAGGGUGCAAGCGUUAAUCGGAAUUACUGGCGUAAAGCGCACGCAGGCGGUCUGUCAAGUCGGAUGUGAAAUCCCCGGGCUCAACCUGGGAACUGCAUUCGAAACUGGCAGGCUAGAGUCUUGUAGAGGGGGGUAGAAUUCCAGGUGUAGCGGUGAAAUGCGUAGAGAUCUGGAGGAAUACCGGUGGCGAAGGCGGCCCCCUGGACAAAGACUGACGCUCAGGUGCGAAAGCGUGGGGAGCAAACAGGAUUAGAUACCCUAGUAGUC
This 464-nucleotide ribosomal RNA is filed under the name uncultured Klebsiella sp. Its description in RNAcentral is "bacterial SSU rRNA". It matches the Rfam family "Bacterial small subunit ribosomal RNA", at positions 338 to 795 of the family's 1533-position model. The record is from RNAcentral. Lineage: Bacteria; Pseudomonadati; Pseudomonadota; Gammaproteobacteria; Enterobacterales; Enterobacteriaceae.